GAUGAACGCUGGCGGCGUGCCUAAUACAUGCAAGUCGAGCGAACAGAUGAGGAGCUUGCUCCUCUGACGUUAGCGGCGGACGGGUGAGUAACACGUGGAUAACCUACCUAUAAGACUGGGAUAACUUCGGGAAACCGGAGCUAAUACCGGAUAAUAUAUUGAACCGCAUGGUUCAAUAGUGAAAGACGGUUUUGCUGUCACUUAUAGAUGGAUCCGCGCCGCAUUAGCUAGUUGGUAAGGUAACGGCUUACCAAGGCAACGAUGCGUAGCCGACCUGAGAGGGGGGUGGGCCAAAGUGAAAGUGAGACACGGUCCAGCACCCGAGGGGAGGCAGCGUGGGGGAAUCUUCCGAAAUGGGGGAAAGCCUGACGGAGCAACGCCGGGGGGGGGAAGAAGGGCUUCGGGUCGUAAAACGCUUUUUUUGGGGAAAAAAAAAUGUGUAAGUAACGAUGCGUGUUUUGACGGAACCGAAUAAGAAGGCCCCGGCUAACUCGGU
RNAcentral lists this ribosomal RNA (496 nucleotides) under uncultured bacterium. RNAcentral describes it as "partial 16S ribosomal RNA". It matches the Rfam family "Bacterial small subunit ribosomal RNA", at positions 28 to 506 of the family's 1533-position model. The record is from RNAcentral.